AGACGAGGCCAGACGGGGAAAGGGCUCAGAGAGGUAAAGGGCUCGGAGUCGCUGGGGGGAGGGGUUCCCACUGGAGGUAACUGAGAGGUGCAGGGGGGCUCGGAGAAUACCGGCUGCAGGGAACGAAGCCGAAGGUUCUGAACGGUCAAGCGAAAAGGCCAGGUGCAGGGAGGCGAAAGGAGGCCAGAGUGCAAACAGCAGGAGAAAUCCUGCGAGCCCCCCCUUCUCCGGGCCGGAGCCCGGGUGCACGCUCGUCCCAAACCCGCCGCGCUGCCCACCUUCCGGAGAGGAACCCCGCGCGCGGCAGAGCCGGACGCCAGGGGCUGGACGCCCAACCACCUAGUCACUCCCCAGGACGCAGUUAUCGCGCGCAAAGCAGCUGGGGGACCCCGCAAGGAAACUCAGGCACAAUGGAGCCCGCUUCUUUUUCUGUCAACUCUGAAUGCUAUGUCUGGUUUGGUCCUGGCUGCUAGUUCGAAGCUGGAACAUCCUCCAGAGCUGGGGCCCAUUUCCUUUUAUUUGCCUUGGGCCCCAAAUGAAAAGCAUCUAUCCGCAUGCCUAAUAAAAAUUUUCUUAAAUCGGGCCACGCAGGCUUUUUCCCAGGUUCUGCGCCCUGACCCCAUUCCCUCUGCUCAUGCUUUUGGCAUUGUAUUGGAGUGUGUUGACUUGACCAAGCUCCCAAACAACCUCCCUGCUCCACCUCAGCUUGGUCUGCCCAGAGGCUCGUACCCCAACCAUCACCCCCCAGCCACCAGAUCGGUGGCAGUAUGUUGUUGGGUCUUGUUGACAUUUUAGAGAGAAAAGCGCCAGAGGUGAAGUUUUCUCGGGUUUUAUAUCUCAAAGCGAUUUGUUCUUGGGAACAGAAUUCUGUCUGAAGUAUUAAUAAUUCGGCUCUAGGUGUCCAGCCCCGUUCAUAUUCAUGAUGUGAAACGGGCAACCAUGCACCUAUCCCUGCAGAACCCACUCCGGGUACAAAUCCGGUAACCUUUCAAGACGCGUGUCAAGGGAAGCUGGAGACCUGGCUUUCCCAGUGGGGGUUCAGCUCCCGGGAGGGGGGAGAGGAGCCCGAGGCCCGCGCCGUCUCGUUUCCUGGUAGGAGAAGGUGCAGGCGGAGGCGGGGCCUCCCGUGAUACAGGUGGCAGCUCUCGUCCCCUGAGAGCGGGCGAAGGCCAGGGUCCCACACUCGCAGCGCUGCGACGGCGCUCGGGACCUCCCUCGUCCACUGCUUGAGUUCCAGAGCGCCAGAGACCCAAGUUGAGGAACAGCCUAUAAAAUAACUGGCCUGUACUCUUACAUACAUGAAAGCCAUCAAAGACAAAGACUGAAGAAGAACUUUUGCAGAUUAAAGGACUUUAAGAGACAUGAUCCUGAACCAGAAAAAGUAAAAAAUAAAAAAAUAAAAAGAUCUGUAGAUUAGAUAAUAGUUUUAUAUCCAUGUUAAUUUCCCAUUUGUUGUAAUAUUACUGUGGUUGGGCAAGAGAGUGUCUUUGUUGGUGGAAGUAUCUACUGAAGUAUUUAGGGGUAAAGAGGAAUCAUGUCUGUAACUUAUGCUCAAAAGGUUCAGACAAAAUAUAUGUAAAGGGAAUGAUAAAGCAAACGCAAUAAAAUGUUAACAUUGGGGAAUCUGUAUAAGGGAAUUAUUAACUUUUCUGUAAGUCUAAAAUUAUUUCAAAUUAAAAAUAAUUUUUUUAAGCCUCAGAGGACAUUUUGCUGCCACCGCCUUGCUGGUGGUUGACAAGGCUCUGUGUCAUGACUUUUUUUUCUGCUAAUCUAACUACUUGUACUGUAAAAUAAACCCAUUUUCUUUGUUUUUUCCUUAGUGAAUGAAAGAGGGUGAAAGAAAAGGUCACCAUUUUCUGUAUAGUAAUCCGUUCAUAUACUUUAAGGUCGUUCUUAACUCACCUUUCCUAGACUAAAUAACUGCAAACUCUUUAAAGUUUUCAUUGUGAAUCUUACUUUCCUGCUCUUUAAUUAUCUUCAUUACCCUCCUUUGACCCUUUUUCUCAUCACUUUUAGAGAGCAGCUCUUGAACUGGACAGAAUACAAAUGUGUCUGCUGGGGCUUCACUGUUGACACAGUGGUACCUAUAUGUCAUAAUCUUUUUUUAUUUUUUUGAGAUUCAAUUAUUUUUAUUCCAGAGAUAUAAGUAAAAAUGUAAGGCCGGGCAUGGUGGCUCACACCUGUAAUCCCAGCACUUUGGGAGGCCAAGGCGGGCAGAUCACCUGAGGUCAAGAGUUUGAGACCAGCCUGGCCAACAUGGUGAAACCUCGUCUCUACUAAAAAUACAAAAAAAAUCAGCUGGGCAUGGUGGUGCACUCCUGUAGUCCCAGCUACUCGGGGAGGCUGAGGCAGGAGAAUCACUUGAACCCAGGAAGCAGAGGUUGCAGUGAGCCAAGAUUGUGCCACUGCACUCCAGCCUGGGCAACAAAGGGAGACUCCAUCUCCAAAAAAAAAAAGGUAGGCCGGGUGUGGUGGCUCACGCCUGUAAUCCCAACACUUUGGGAGGCCAAGGUGGUUGGAUCACGAGGUCAAGAGAUCGAAACCAUCCUGGCCAACGUGGUGAAACCCCGUCUCUACUAAAAACACAAAAAAUAGCCGGGCAUGGUGGCGCACACCUGUAGUCCCAGCUACUCGGGUGGCUGAGGCAGGAAAAUUGCUUGAAUCCGGGAGGCAGAGGUUGCAGUGAGCCAAGAUGGCGCCACUGCACUCCAGCCUGGCGACAGGCGGAGACUCCAUCUCAAAAAAAGAAAAAAAAAGUGAACAGAUAUAUUGACAUAAAAUUCAUAAAACAUAUGGGUAUAUUAAAAACUGGAAACUCAGGUUGCCUUUGAGGAUAAGAACUGAGGGCCUAUGUGUCAAGAAUACUUUGCAGUUAGCCACCGCGCUCAGCCCUCUAGAUCUUUGUUAGUGUUUUAAUUGCACAUACUUAGUUAUUCUCUUGUACUUAUAAGAAAAUCUAAGCUGGGCGUGGUGGCUCACGCCUGUAAUCCUAGCACUUUGGGACACUGAGGUGGGCAGAUCACUUGAGUUCAGGAGUUGGAGACCAGCCUGGCCAACAUGGUGAAACCCCGUCUUUACUAAAACACAAAAAUUAGACGGGCAUGGUUGCAGACACCUGUAAUUCCAGCUACUCAGGAGGCUGAGGCAUGAGAAUCACUUGAACCUGGGAGGCAGAGGUUGCAGCGAGUUGAGAUGGGGCCACUGCACUCCAGCCUGGGCAACAGAGCAAGACUUCAUCUCAAAAAACAAAACAAAAUCUUCUACAGUGAAUCAAAGUAUGAAAAUAUUCUCAAAUUAUAUAGCGGCAAUGCUUGCACAAAUCUUUUUAUGUACUAAAAACCACUGAAUUAUAUACUUUAAAAGGGUGAAUAUUAUGGUAUGUGAGAAUUAUAUUUCAAUUUUUAAAAAAGCAAAUCAAAGUAGAAACCUGUGUUCUGAGGCUACCAAAAGCCACUGAUACUCUUAGUUAUUCAUACUAGAUGCAUUUGUAAAAGACACCACAUUUUAUACUCCCUGGACAUGUCUAGCCUCUGAAGUGGAGAGGCAAGGAGAAGUGAUGAUCAAGAUAAAUAUAUAAAUUAUAAUUAUCCAUUACUCUGUGCAUUACACAUUUAAAGAAAUUACUGGCCUGAACCUUUAUUAUAGCGAUUAUUACAGAUCAUGAGGAAAAGUAUGGGUUUAAUAGUUGGCUCUGCCAUUUGCUACCUUGUGGCCUUGGGCAUGUUCCUUAACCUCACAAGAACUCAGUUUUACCUGUAAAAAUGGGGACUUUGAUGAUGUACACUUCAUAGGUUUUAAGGAGAGAGAUUUUUGCGUACAAAAGCUUCCUAAGGAAAACAAACCUGAGAACCAGGAAGGUUACUACUGAAGAGGAAUCUCCAAGUGAGGGGGGUUCUUUCCAGACAACCACAAAGGCUGAUGAUUCUCUGGCCUUAGCGUAGACAAAAGACACCAUUGAGGCAUUUGAGCAAGACUUUACUGACUGCUAUGUCAUAGGAAAAUACACAGAAAAAUACAGAUAGGGAAAUGCGCCAUUAAUCUGCACAGCAUGGCUUAUAAGAUCCCCCUGAUCCUUGGGGAUCACAAAACUGAUCCCAUUUAACUGGGCAUCCAGGUAAAAAGAGAUGCCACCAAGAGAAUUCCUCCCUCCUUACUGCUGGCCUUUUGCCAUCAAGGUAUCAAUUACCCCUGUCCCUGAGCCCCUUGCCCAGGAGUAAGUCCCUGUCUCUUCCAAAGCCCAAAGAGAGGAAAGCACAGCAGCACGCCUUAUCUUUUAAGUCAAGGUGGGGUUGACAAGGGUGAAUGUUUAAAGAAGGAAAGGAAGUUUUGUUUCUCUUCUUUCCUAAGGCCCUAUGCAUCCCUGUAGCCUGCCUACUCACCUAUCCAUUUGGCUGAUAAAGGGCCAAUUUUAUUAUUCUGGCAAAAUGUAACCUAAAAACCAGGAAAUAGUUGUCGCCCUGUUUUAUGUCUGUUUGAAGUGUGUGAAAUGGCCAGGUGUGGUGGCUCAUGCCUGUAAUCUCAGCACUUUGGGAGGCCAAGGCGGGCGGAUCACCUGAGGUCAGUUCAAGACCAGCCUGGCCAACAUGGUGAAACCCCGUCUCUACUAAAAAUACAAAAAUUAGCUGGGUGUGGUGCACGCCUGUAGUCCCAGCUACUCAGGAGGCUGAGGCAGGAGAAUGGCGUGAACCCAGGAGGUGGAGCUUGCAGUGAGCCGAGAUUGUGCCACUGCACUCCAGUCUGGGCGACAGAGCGAGACUCCAUCUCAAAAAAAAAAAAAAAAAAAAAAAAGAAGUUGAAUCUCUUCCUCACACCACACAGAAAAACGAAUUUAAAAUAAAUGUCCAUUACACACCAGACUAUUGAUAAAAUAAAAAUAAAAAAUAAAUAAAAUGAUGGACCAAAAUGUAAGAGUUAAAUCUAUAAAAUGGGAAAAAUGGAGUACAUCUUCAUGAUUUUGUAUUAGGCAAUGGCUUCUUAAAUAUGACUCCAGAAGAACAAGCAACAAAAGAAAAAAAGGAUGAAUUGAAAUUCAUCAAAAUUAAAAGCUUUAGUACAUCAAAGGACAUGAUCAGGAAAAUGAAAAGACACCCCACAGAAUGGGAGAAAAUAUUUGUAAAUCAUAUAUCCGAUAAGGGUCUAGUAUCCAGAAUAUACAGAUUUUUUCUUUUUCUUUUUUUUUUUUUUUUUGAGAUGGAGUUUCCCUCUUGUUGCCAGGCUGGAAUGCAAUGGCACGAUCUCAGCUCACCGCAACCUCCACCUCCUGGGUUCAAGCGAUUCUCCUGCCUCAGCCUCCCGAGUAGGUGGAAUUACAGAUAUGUGCCACCAUGCCUGGUUAAUUUUGUAUUUUUAGUAGAGAUGGUGUUUCUCCAUGUUGGUCAGGCUGGUCUCGAACUCCCGACCUCAGGUUAUCCACCCACCUUGGCCUCCCAAAGUGCUGAGAUUACAGGCAUGAGCCACCACGCCUGGGCCAAAAAAAAUUUAUAACUAAAAAAUGAAAGUUCUACUUGCUGUAGCUCUUGGGGGAAAAGAAAAACAAAAGACAAAUCACCCAGUCAAAAAAUGGGCAAAAUAUUUGAAUGGACAUUUCUUUAAGAAAUGUACACCAGUCACAGUGGCUCACACCUAUAAUCCCAGCACUUUGGGAGGCCGAGGUGGGUAGCUUACUUGAGUCCAGGAGUUUGGACCAGCCUGGGCAACAUGGCGAAACCCAUCUCUACAAAAAUUAGUGAGUGUGGUGGUGCUCAGCUGUGGUCCCAGCUACUCAGGCGGCUGAGGUGGGAGGAUGGCUUCAGGAGGUCGAGGCUGCAGUAGGCUGAGAUGGCCCCACUGCACUCCAGCCAGGGCAACAGUGUGAGACCCUGUCUCAAACAAACAUAUAUAUAUAUACACACAUACACAAAUGGAUAAGUACAUGAAAAAAUGUCCACUAGGAAAUACCAUUUUUAUCUACACUAAACUGGCUAAAAAUAAAAAGGCAGACCCAAGUGUUGACAAUAUAUGGAGAAAUUGGAACCCUGAUUCAUUGUUGGGGGGAUUGUAAAAUGGUACAGUCACUUUGGGAAUAGCCUGACAGUUCCUCAAAAGGUUAAACAAAGAAUUACAAUAUGGCUCAGCAAUUCCAGUCCUAGUAUAUACCCAAGAAAUGUGAAGCCAUAUGUCCAUGGAAAACCUUAUACACAAAUGUUCACAGCAGUAUUAUUCAUAAUAGCCAGAAAGGAGAGGAUCGCUUGAGCACAGGAGGUGGAGGUUGCAGUGAGCCAAGAUGGCGGCACUGCACUCCAGCCUGGGUGACAGAGUGAGACCCUGUCUCAAAAAAAAAAAAUUAGCCAGAAAGUAGAAGCAAUCCAAUUGUCCAUCAACUGAUGAAAGGCUAAACAAAAUGUAGCACAUCUUCUCUAGAAAAAAAAAAUUAGUCAUUUAUCUAUAAAAGGAUAAAGAAGUACUGAUACAUGCUACAAUCUGGAUUAAUCUUGAAAACUUUAUGCUUAGUGAAAGAAACGAGUCACAAAGGCCACAUGUCAUAUAAUUCAAUUUAUAUGAAAUGUCCAAAAUAGGCAAAUUCGUAGUGACUGAAAGUAGAUUAAUGGUUGCCAGGGGCUGGAAGCAAAGGAAGAAUGGGGAAUUUCUUCUAAUGAAUACAGGGUUUCUUUUGGGGUGAUGAAAUGUUCUAAAAUGACAGUGAUGUUGAGUUUACAACUCUGAUACACUAAAAACCACUGAGGUGUAAAAGGAUGAAUUUUAUGGUGUGUGAAUAAUAUGUCAAUAAAGCUGUUAUAAAAAAGAACUUAUCAUAUAGCAUUAAAAUUAUGUCUUCAUAUGUAUUUCUUCCUCUUACUAGAAUUAGACUACAUGGUAGGCAGCAAAUACUAACAAGAAAGAAAUUAAGAGACAAAAAAAGAAUAAAAAUGACAGAAGAAAAAAAUCAAACUAAAACAAAACAAAAAAAUAGAAUUAGACUAUGAGCUUUCUUCAUCCUUACACAUGGUUAGAUACUCAACGAACACAAUAAAUACUUGAUGAUCCAGUAAUUAAUUCAUUGAUCUAAUCUUUGAAAGAAGUUUAAGACAUUAACAGGCAGUUGGAAGGGAAGAUUAUUCUCUGCAAAGGCAGUGGCUGAGCACAGAGAAGGAAGGGCAGUAGGCUUGAGCAGCCAGCAGUUCUUGAUUGGCUAGGAGAAGCAGGGAAGGAAGCAGUACAGAUAAGGGUGUUAAGGGCUGUACUACCUACUAAAUUUGCUCCAUAUUUAAUUGUUGUUAAAUAUUGUUAAUUCAUAGUGCUUGGCUGACUAAAAAUAUUUUCAGAGAAAAUGACGAUUCAGUCUCUUUCCCCUGCACUUUUUCUUGUCUCCUUAGUGUAAUCAAAAGCUACAAGUGAGGCUGGGUGUGGUGGCUAACACCUAUAAUCCCAGCACUUUGGGAGGCCGAGGCAGGCGGAUCACUUGAGGUCAGGAGUUUGAGAGCAGCUUGGCCAACAUGGAGAAACCUCAUCUCUACUAAAAAUAUGAAAAUUAGACGAGGUGGUGGCGUGCGCCUGUAGUCUCAGCUGCUUGGGAGGCUGAGGCAGGAGAAUCACUUGAACCCGGGAGGCGGAGGUUGCAGGGAGCCAAGACUGUGCCACUGCACUCCAACCUGGGCAACAGAGCGAGACUCCAUCUCAAAAAAAAAAAAGCUACAAGUGAGAUUGUGCCAAUUGGAACAAAACAAGAAGUAAAAGUUUCAUCUCUGAUGGGCUCUGGCCAGCGCUGCCCCCCGGGCCUUCUGCUCUAGAAGCCCAUGGUGAUCCUCAUGUGCCAUUCACCUGGCUACUUGGCCCUAAUUUCACACAGUUCGAAGCCAGAAACCUGCUGUUUGAGCCUACCUUCCCAGAGUCCUUCCUUCUUUCAUGAAUUGAACAAACAUUCAUUGAACACCUGCUUUUUGCCAGAGAUUAUGUGAGGCAUGGGAUAUGGCAGCAAAUAAGUCAACUUUGCUGUCAAUAUAUGUCAUAGUAGUCAUUGUUGAGUUGAGGCAUUUCUAUUUGGCUAUUAGUAGCAUUGGUUUAGAAAGAGCCUCAAAACCCUCUCUAGUGGACUUCUUGUGAGAACACUACCUUAUAUUUGAAUAGAACUAUUCAAGGAUUUCACAUGCAAUAUUCCAUUUGAUACUAAAAUCUAUUUUAAAAAAAGAAGAGAGGGCAGGUAUUGUCUUCAUUUUGCAGAUGAGGCCAAUGAGAUUCGGAUAGGUUAAAUGAUUCCUUCGAGUUCACACAGCUAGUAAACAGCGAAGCCUGCUUGGGAACCCAGCUGCGACUUCUAAUUGGUUGCUUUUCCCGUUACCCCUUAUGGAGACCAGAAGAUCCAGCUUCUUAGGAGGCAGCUGCCUCUGUCUGUGUGUAAACAAUAAGGCAGCAAAAGACUGUUGGGUUUGCUCUUUUUAAAUUUUUAAUAAACCAUCACUGUGUUUAUUAUCAAUUUAAUAAACAAGCAACCAUCAAGAAGCAAAGUAAUGAACCCAGCAGAUAGGGACAUUGUGAAAAUAUGUUUCUAUGAGACUUGUAAGUGCACAGUUAGUGAGAACAGAAAUCAAAUUUUUAGCAAAAGAUGUAGUUCCUGACUGGUGGGGGCCACCCAGAACUCUCUCCUGGAGAUCCUUCUCAUUUACCUCAGCUGUGAGCCUCUGUGUGAAUGAUUUCCAAAUUCAGUUCAACAGGUGUUGAAUCAAUGACCUACAGAAUGUCCCACGCACUCAGAAUAUAAACAAGAAUGAAGCUCACCUCAGGUUUCAGAGCUCCCAGGCUGCAUUAGGAAAACAAAUAAUUAAAAUACAAUGUGUGCUGCUUAAGCACAGGAGUUUGAGAUCAACCUGGGCAACAUAGGGAGAAACCGUCUCUACAAAAAAUAAGAAAUUAGCCAGGUGUGGUAGAGAACGCCUGCGGGGGCUAACGUGGGAGGAUGGCUUGAGCCCAGGAGAGGUCGGGAGAGGUCGAGACUGUAGUGAGCCAUAUUGGUGCCAGUGCACCCUAGCCUGGCUGAGAGAGCAAGAACCCAUCUCAAAAACAAAACAAAACAAAACACCCCCCCCAAAAAAACCCACCACACACACAACAAAAUAAAACCAAUGUGGGCAUGGUGGCUCAAGCCUGUAAUCCUAGCACUUUGGGAGGCCAAGGUGGGUGGAUUACUUGAGCCCUGGUAUUUGAGACCAGCUUGGGCAACAUGGUGAGACCCUGUCUUGACAAAAAAUAAAAAAUUAGCCAGGCCUGGUGGCGCAUGCCUGUACUCCCAGAUACUUCGGAGGCUGAAGUGGGAGGAUCACUUGAGCCCAUGAGGUUGAGGCUGCAGUGAGCCAUGAUCAUGUCACUGCACCCCAGCCUGGGCAACAGAGUGAGACCCUGUCUCAAACAAAACAAAACAAACAAAAAACAACGAAUACAUCUCAUAAUGGGCAAGUGCUCUAACGAUGUAGAAGUUUUUCUAAAAAAUAAGGUGAGGAAGCACUUACGUGUAGUAAACAUUACUUUAUAAUUCUACAUCUGAAAUCGUAAAUCUUUCAAUCUCUAAGCUUUCCAGUUUCCUUAAUGAAAAUAAAUAACAUUUUUAUUUAAUACUUAUGAUGCAGUGGACAUUAUGCUAACUGCUUUACAGGUAGUAUAUCUCAUUUAAUCUUCAUAACAACCUUAUUUUUUUUUUUUUCAUUUUACAGAUCAAGAAUCUGAGGCUCAGGGAGGUUAAAUGACUUGUUCCAGGUCCCACAGCCAAGAAGUGGGAAGAGCCAAUUUGGUCUCCUAAGUGCAUCCUCUUAAUUGUGAUCCUGUAUGGCCUCUUUUUCUCCUAAUGCAAUGUUCUCUGAUCUUACCUCCAAACUUUGGCCUCUGUUUUCUCCGGUCUCUCAGCCGUCACCUAUCCUUCUCUGUCUAUCCUCCUACCAUGCCAGACCACUCACAGGUACCCCCUGGUGUGUGGUGUGGUAUCUCUUUGCCUUUGCACACAUGUUCCCUCUACCUGGAUGAGCCAAUCACAGAGCCACCAAACUCAUUUGUAAAUCUGGCCAAGUGAAAGAUGAAAAUGAGCCACAGUAGUAUACAGUAUAUUUGAAACAAUGGCCGGGCGCAGUGGCUCAUGCCUGUAAUCCCAGCACUUUGGGAGGCCGAGGUGGGUGGAUCACCUGAGGUCAGGAGUUUGAGAUCAGCCAGGCCAACAUGGCGAAACCCUGUCUCUACUAAAAAUACAAAAAAAUUAGCCAGCUGUUGUGGCGGUUGCCUAUAAUCCCGGCUACUCAUAAGGCUGAGGCAGGAGAAUCACUUGAACCCAGGGGUUGGAGGUUGCAGUGAGCCAAGAUUGCGCCACUACACUCCAGCCUAGGCGAAAGAGGGAAACUCCAUCUAAAAGAAAAAAAAAAAAAAGAAAAAGAAAGGAAACGUUAAUGUCAUUUCUAUAACACUGAAAAAAUUUAAGAGAUUACGGAAGUGGAAAACUUAUGGUAGCAUUUAUAAGUGAAAAGAUCUUAUUCAUAGAAUGUAGGAACACAUUCUAAGUGCAGUUGUAACAUUCACAUAAUUUCAUCCUGUAUUGUAGGACAAAGAUAUACACAGUUAAUACUUCAAGUUAUUAUUUCUAUAUAUGGCAUUCUUAGACUAUAACAAAACAAAAAUUUUAAUGUGUUUCAAUGCAAUGUCUUUAAAAAUAAGCAUAUGUAUGUGUGUGUAUGUGUGGCACAUAUAUAUGUAUAUAUACAUAUAGUCUCUUAAAACCUAAAUCAUAAAGCGAAUCUGGGUC
Molecule: long non-coding RNA, 10753 nt
Filed under: Homo sapiens (human)
Lineage: Eukaryota; Metazoa; Chordata; Mammalia; Primates; Hominidae
Description: non-protein coding lnc-VIRMA-1:4
Rfam family: Metazoan signal recognition particle RNA (bases 9231-9378)
Source: RNAcentral